UACGUAGGGGGCAAGCGUUGUCCGGAAUCAUUGGGCGUAAAGAGCGUGUAGGCGGCCAGAUAAGUCCGCUGUGAAAACUCGAGGCUCAACUUCGAGCUGUCGGUGGAAACUAUUUGGCUAGAGUCCGGAAGAGGAGAGUGGAAUUCCUGGUGUAGCGGUGGAAUGCGCAGAUAUCAGGAAGAACACCCGUGGCGAAGGCGGCUCUCUGGAACGCAACUGACGCUGAGACGCGAAAGCGUGGGGAGCAAACAGG
Molecule: ribosomal RNA, 253 nt
Filed under: uncultured bacterium
Lineage: Bacteria
Description: partial 16S ribosomal RNA
Rfam family: Bacterial small subunit ribosomal RNA
Source: RNAcentral